AUUUUAUGAAAUCUGGAGGUGUUAAUUUAAAUUUGUUGGUUAAAUAAUAUAUUUUAUUUUAGUAUUUUCAAUUUCUUGUUUCUUUUAUUUACAUGUAAGUUUUUAGCGUAAAUUUUUAAAAAUAUUAAUACAGUAAAUGUUAUUAAUUUAUAAGAGAAAUUUUGAUUUAGAAAUUGAAUCUUAAAUAAACUAAUUUUGUGCCAGCAGUUGCGGUUAAACAAAUUAUUAAAAGGAAUUUUAGAAUUAAUGUGAACUUUUACGAUAAAUAGAUAAAAAUGAUUAAUUGAAAGGUAAAAUUUACAAUUUUUUUUAAUGUCUAAUUUUAAUUGUUCAGAAAUUUAGCGCUAAACCAGGAUUAGAUACCCUGUUAUAAUAAUGUAAACUUUAUGGAGUAGUAAAAGUUAAGAGCUUAAAACUCAAAAGAUUUGGCGGUAUUUUAUCUUAUCAGAGGAACCUGUUUAUUAAUUGAUAAUCCACAAUUAAAAUUUACUUUUAUUUAUAUUACUUGUAUACCGCUGUCAUGAAUAUACUAAAAAGUUUAUAUUUUCUUCCACCCCAUUUUCCCGCUGCUGGUUUAUGUUAGGUCAAGGUGCAGUUUUUAAAAGAAGCUAAUGGGUUACAAUACAAAUUAUGAAUGGAAUUAAGUAAAUUUAACUUUAAGAAAAAGGAUUUGAAAGUAAAAUGAUUUAUAAAAAUUAAAUGAAUUUAGAUUCUAAAAUAUGUACAUAUUGCCCGUCACUCUUGCUUAAAGUAAGAUAAGUCGUAACAUAGUAGAUGUACCGGAAGGUGCAUCUGGAGUUAGAG
Molecule: non-coding RNA, 804 nt
Filed under: Bactericera cockerelli (potato/tomato psyllid)
Lineage: Eukaryota; Metazoa; Arthropoda; Insecta; Hemiptera; Triozidae
Source: RNAcentral